This 544-nucleotide ribosomal RNA is filed under the name uncultured cyanobacterium. RNAcentral's name for it is "partial 16S ribosomal RNA". It matches the Rfam family "Bacterial small subunit ribosomal RNA", at positions 1 to 571 of the family's 1533-position model. Lineage: Bacteria; Bacillati; Cyanobacteriota. The record is from RNAcentral.
GGCCGCGGGAAUUCGAUUAGAGUUUGAACAUGGCUCAGGAUGAACGCUGGCGGUAUGCCUAACACAUGCAAGUCGUACGAGAGUUUUUAACUCUAGUGGCGGACGGGUGAGUAACACGUGAGAAUUUGCCUUUAGGAGGGGGAUAACAAUUGGAAACGAAUGCUAAUACCCCAUAUGCUUUCGAGUGAAAUGAAUUUUUUAUUUGCCUAAAGAGAAGCUCGCGGCUGAUUAGCUUGUUGGUAAGGUAAGAGCUUACCAAGGCGACGAUCAGUAUCUGGUUUGAGAGGACGAUCAGACACACUGGAACUGAGACACGGUCCAGACUCCUACGGGAGGCAGCAGUGGGGAAUUUUCCGCAAUGGGCGAAAGCCUGACGGAGCAAUACCGCGUGAGGGAAGAAUGCCUAUGGGUUGUAAACCUCUUUUUUCAGGGAGGAAUAAAUGACGUGUACCUGAAGAAUAAGCAUCGGCUAACUCCGUGCCAGCAGCCGCGGUAAGACGGAGGAUGCAAGUGUUAUCCGGAAUCACUGGGCGUAAAGCGUCUG